Long non-coding RNA from Lytechinus variegatus (green sea urchin), 168 nucleotides. RefSeq lists it as uncharacterized. NCBI's taxonomy places the organism in Eukaryota, Metazoa, Echinodermata, Echinoidea, Temnopleuroida, Toxopneustidae. The transcript is spliced from 3 exons. The record is from RefSeq and is a predicted model, not a curated record.
GGUAUGGAGAGGGAGACAAGCAUCUACCCAAGCAGCAAAGAAUACCCUCAUCACAAUUAUAGAAUCAUUCAACUCAUCUUCAAAUGAUACAACUUUACCAGAUAUUGACCCAACUGAAGAGAUUCCCGACUGUAUGCUAAUACAAUUCUCCCGUCACAUUAACAAAGA